ACGUGGCAGAAGUCUCAGAAGAAGAUCAUACGCGAGUUCAUUAACUCCAUCUCAGCCAUUCGUUCCACCCACCCUUCUGUCGCCGGAUGGUGGAAGACCGUACAACUUUACACCGAUCAAACCGGCGCGAACAUCUCACGAACGGUUCGCUUAGGAGAGGAGAAAAACGACCGGUUUUAUUCCCACGGGAAAUCGCUAACGAGGUUAUCUAUACAGUCUGUGAUUAAAAGUGCGGUCACAGCUAGAUCAAAGCCGUUGCCAAUAAAUCCGAAAAGUGGGUUAUAUCUGUUGCUCACGUCCGAUGACGUGUACGUCCAGGAUUUCUGUGGACAGGUCUGUGGAUUCCACUAUUUCACAUUCCCGUCGAUUGUGGGGUAUACGCUCCCGUACGCAUGGGUGGGCAACAGCGCGAAGCUAUGCCCAGGAGUGUGUGCCUACCCAUUCGCCGUACCAAACUAUAUCCCUGGGCUAAAGCCAAAAAAGUCACCCAACGGCGACGUAGGAGUGGAUGGGAUGAUAAGCGUGAUCGGUCACGAGAUUGCUGAGCUGGCAACGAACCCGUUGGUGAACGCAUGGUACGCCGGGCAGGACCCAACUUCGCCUGUGGAGAUAGCGGAUUUAUGCGAGGGUAUUUACGGAACAGGAGGGGGUGGGUCGUACACAGGGCAACUAUUGGAGGGACAUGAUGGUGCUACGUAUAAUAUGAAUGGAAUAAGACGGAGGUAC
Molecule: unclassified non-coding RNA, 726 nt
Filed under: Hevea brasiliensis (rubber tree)
Lineage: Eukaryota; Viridiplantae; Streptophyta; Magnoliopsida; Malpighiales; Euphorbiaceae
Source: RNAcentral